This 507-nucleotide ribosomal RNA is filed under the name uncultured bacterium. RNAcentral describes it as "bacterial SSU rRNA". It matches the Rfam family "Bacterial small subunit ribosomal RNA", at positions 19 to 518 of the family's 1533-position model. The record is from RNAcentral.
CUGGCUCAGGAUGAACGCUGGCGGCAGGCUUAAUACAUGCAAGUUGAACGGUAACAUGUUGUAGCAAUACGAUGAUGACGAGUGGCGCACGGGUGCGUAACACGUGUGUAACCUACCUUAUACAGGAACAUAACGUUGAGAAAUCGGCGCUAACAUUCCAUAAUAUUAUUUGUAGGCAUCUAUGAAUAAUUAAAACUCCGGUGGUAUAAGAUGGGCACGCGUUCCAUUAGCUAGUUGGUAAGGUAACGGCUUACCAAGGCAACGAUGGAUAGGGGUUCUGAGAGGAUAAUCCCCCACACUGGAACUGAGACACGGUCCAGACUCCUACGGGAGGCAGCAGUAAGGAAUAUUGGGCAAUGGAGGCAACUCUGACCCAGCCAUGCCGCGUGCAGGAAGACGGCCCUAUGGGUUGUAAACUGUCUUUUAAUAGGGAUUAAAGUCGACUACGUGUAGUUGUUUGCAAGUACCUAUAGAAUAAGCAUCGGCUAACUCCGUGCCAGCCGCUGC